Molecule: non-coding RNA, 501 nt
Organism: Zootermopsis nevadensis
Lineage: Eukaryota; Metazoa; Arthropoda; Insecta; Blattodea; Termopsidae
Source: RefSeq, a predicted model, not a curated record
CCAAUGUGUAAUUUUCACUUGAUGGUCUCAACAGGUUAUACACCACAGGAAAGGGUGUGCUCCGCCUCAUCCUGCUCACAGAUUGGACUUGCGCCUCAUCAUAAGGGACAGUGCUGUCUCCACGUGGCUCAGGCUAUAUGGCUGAAUCGGAAAUGAUGUGGAAGUGGUCGUGGCCUAAUUUAAGGGAGUAUCCCUACACUAUCCUGGAGGGACUGAGGAAAACCACGAAAAACCUAGGCGGGGUAUCCGGUCCCCGGGCCGAGGUUUGAACCCGGGACAUCCCGAGCUUUGAUCACUGGACCACGACGUCCGAUAACGUUUUGUUUGUCCAACAGUCAGAAGGCUGAGGAAAUUACACGAAGCUCCUUCGUUCCGGUAGUUGGGCUCGUACAGUCCAGGAAACAUGACAGACACAGGCGAGAUUUCGGGUUCUCAAGGCGACGACUGCUAAGACGGAAUGAUGUAAUUUUUUGCAUUAUGCUUGAAAUAAAACCACCCUAA